RNAcentral lists this ribosomal RNA (368 nucleotides) under uncultured organism. Its description in RNAcentral is "partial 16S ribosomal RNA". It matches the Rfam family "Bacterial small subunit ribosomal RNA", at positions 527 to 896 of the family's 1533-position model. The record is from RNAcentral.
GGAGGGGGCAAGCGUUGUUCGGAAUUACUGGGCGUAAAGGGCGCGUAGGCGGAAGAUCAAGUCAGGGGUGAAAGGCCUGGGCUCAACCCGGGAACUGCCUUUGAAACUGGUUUUCUAGAGUACGGGAGAGGAUGGCGGAAUUCCCAGUGUAGAGGUGAAAUUCGUAGAUAUUGGGGAGAACACCGGUGGCGAAGGCGGCCAUCUGGCCCGGUACUGACGCUAAGGCGCGAAAGCGUGGGGAGCAAACAGGAUUAGAUACCCUGGUAGUCCACGCCGUAAACGAUGUGUGCUAGCCGUUGGGGCUUCAGGUCUCGGUGGCGCAGCUAACGCGUUAAGCACACCGCCUGGGGAGUACGGCCGCAAGGUUA